UUCGCAAUGCCCGAAAGGGUGACGAAGCGACGCCGCGUGGGUGAGGAAGGCCCUCGGGUUGUAAAGCCCUGUCAGGAGUUAAGAAAUGUAAGUGCGCUAAUAUCGCAUUUAUUUGACGAAGGCUCCAAAGGAAGUCACGGCUAACUCUGUGCCAGCAGCCGCGGUAAUACAGAGGUGGCAAGCGUUGUUCGGAAUUAUUGGGCGUAAAGAGCACGUAGGUGGGUUUGCAAGUCAGAUGUGAAAGCCUUCUGUUCAACAGAAGAAUUGCAUCUGAAACUGCGAGUCUUGAGUGUAGGAGGGGAGAAUGGAACUUCUGGUGGAGCGGUGAAAUGCGUAGAUAUCAGAAGGAACGCCGGCGGCGAAAGCGAUUCUCUGGCCUAUUACUGACACUCAGUGUGCGAAAGCUAGGGGAGCAAACGGGAUUAGAUACCCCGGUAGUCCUAGCCGUAAACGAUGGGCACUAAGUAGAGGGGUUUU
RNAcentral lists this ribosomal RNA (477 nucleotides) under Candidatus Scalindua brodae. RNAcentral's name for it is "bacterial SSU rRNA". It matches the Rfam family "Bacterial small subunit ribosomal RNA", at positions 365 to 832 of the family's 1533-position model. Lineage: Bacteria; Pseudomonadati; Planctomycetota; Candidatus Brocadiia; Candidatus Brocadiales; Candidatus Scalinduaceae. RNAcentral also lists the same sequence under 1 other name. The record is from RNAcentral.